This 83-nucleotide transfer RNA is filed under the name Candidatus Omnitrophota bacterium. RNAcentral describes it as "tRNA-Tyr". It matches the Rfam family "tRNA". Rfam says of the family: Transfer RNA (tRNA) molecules are approximately 80 nucleotides in length. Lineage: Bacteria; Pseudomonadati; Candidatus Omnitrophota. The record is from RNAcentral.
GGGCAGGUACCCAAGUGGACAACGGGGGCAGACUGUAAAUCUGCUGGCGUAUGCCUUCGGAGGUUCGAAUCCUCCCCUGCCCA